RNAcentral lists this ribosomal RNA (468 nucleotides) under uncultured bacterium. Its description in RNAcentral is "partial 16S ribosomal RNA". It matches the Rfam family "Bacterial small subunit ribosomal RNA", at positions 28 to 507 of the family's 1533-position model. The record is from RNAcentral.
GACGAACGCUGGCGGUGUGCUUAACACAUGCAAGUCGAACGGAAAGGCCCUGCUUUUGUGGGGUGCUCGAGUGGCGAACGGGUGAGUAACACGUGAGUAACCUGCCCUUGACUUUGGGAUAACCUCAGGAAACUGGGGCUAAUACCGGAUAGGAGCUCCUGCUGCAUGGUGGGGGUUGGAAAGUUUCGGCGGUUGGGGAUGGACUCGCGGCUUAUCAGCCUGUCGGUGGGGGAGUGGCUUACCAAGGCAUCGACGGGUAGCCGGCCUGAGAGGGUGACCGGCCACAUUGGGACUGAGAUACGGCCCAGACUCCUACGGGAGGCAGCAGUGGGGAAUAUUGCACAAUGGGCGGAAGCCUGAUACAGCAACGCCGCGUGCGGGAUGACGGCCUUCGGGUUGUAAACCGCUUUCGCCUGUGACGAAGCGUGAGUGACGGUAAUGGGUAAAGAAGCACCGGCUAACUACGUG